CUUGCUUCUCUUGAGAGCGGCGGACGGGUGAGUAAUGCCUAGGAAUCUGCCUGGUAGUGGGGGAUAACGUUCGGAAACGGACGCUAAUACCGCAUACGUCCUACGGGAGAAAGCAGGGGACCUUCGGGCCUUGCGCUAUCAGAUGAGCCUAGGUCGGAUUAGCUAGUUGGUGAGGUAAUGGCUCACCAAGGCGACGAUCCGUAACUGGUCUGAGAGGAUGAUCAGUCACACUGGAACUGAGACACGGUCCAGACUCCUACGGGAGGCAGCAGUGGGGAAUAUUGGACAAUGGGCGAAAGCCUGAUCCAGCCAUGCCGCGUGUGUGAAGAAGGUCUUCGGAUUGUAAAGCACUUUAAGUUGGGAGGAAGGGCAGUUACUUAAUACGUGAUUGUUUUGACGUUACCGACAGAAUAAGCACCGGCUAACUCUGUGCCAGCAGCCGCGGUAAUACAGAGGGUGCAAGCGUUAAUCGGAAUUACUGGGCGUAAAGCGCGCGUAGGUGGUUUGUUAAGUUGGAUGUGAAAUCCCCGGGCUC
Molecule: ribosomal RNA, 535 nt
Filed under: Pseudomonas sp.
Lineage: Bacteria; Pseudomonadati; Pseudomonadota; Gammaproteobacteria; Pseudomonadales; Pseudomonadaceae
Description: bacterial SSU rRNA
Rfam family: Bacterial small subunit ribosomal RNA
Source: RNAcentral